Non-coding RNA from Chrysemys picta bellii (western painted turtle), 2488 nucleotides. NCBI's taxonomy places the organism in Eukaryota, Metazoa, Chordata, Testudines, Emydidae. The record is from RefSeq and is a predicted model, not a curated record.
UCAGGUAUUGGGCACUGCUGGACUCAGGAUACUGGAUUCCAUUGAGCAAUGAUCUGAAUAAACACAGCAGUGCGAAUAGCUCACAAAAUUAGAAUGGUCUUUGAACAGCAACAGUCUUGUGAUCCUCGAAGGAUAAGGCUUCUCCUGCGUGUGACACCAAGAGCAGAGGGCAAAGAGAAGCUGCUGGAAAGUGCAAACGCCUGCAGAAAGAGAGGCUGAUGUUAUUCGGAGGAGGCUUCAUUUAUAACAGCCUGGUACACAUUAUCAAGCAAUCUAGAUGAUGUUUGACAACACGGUUGACCUCCCCCUUCUCCACCCCCACAUGCACUGAAGUGGGGAAACAACAUGGAGCCUUUCACUGGAAGUGCUGUUUACAAAAUACUGUAUUUUCUUUCCAAAAUUCCACAGCAAGAGGCAGUCAGCAGCUUUAGCGCAUGCCAGCAUGAACUGGAGCACUUCCUAGGCUGACUUGCUUUCAGUAGAAUAAACAUAGAGGUUAGACACUUACGCUUAUAUAUAUAUCUAUAUAUCCAUAUCUAUCAUAAAUGUAGUAGUAAAAUAACACAGCUGUGCCUGUCUGAGAGCUGAAGGAAUGUGGAUACUAUGAGUAAUUAAACAGGGUUAAGUAGUAAUAUCUUAGAACUGUUGGUUUCCUGGAUCCUAGGACAGGGCCAAUGUAGCCAGUUGGUCUUCAUUUUGGAAUUUAUUGACUGCUGAACGCUAAUAUGCAGUGUUGUUGUAGCCGUGCUGAUCUAAUAACAGAUAUUACCUCACCCACCUGGUUGAAGUCUAAUAUGGCAGAGAUAAUAAUGCCGUCAUAGCACUGGAGGUUAUUGGAUGCAGCUGUCCUAUAGUGCAGUGUAUGGAAUUGUAUUUCAGUCUUAGAGGCUCCUGGAUGCUGUGCUAUUACAUAGCAGAGGUAACACAGCUCAGUCGUAUUACUGUAGAGCCCUACAUGCUGUGAUGUAAUAGACAGCUCGAGUCGGCUCUCACUUUCACUGGUUUUGCGCAAGUGUAACUCAACUGACCUCAGUGGAGUUGCUCCUCAUUUACACUGUGGUGUACAGGUGCAGAAGCAGGUCCAUAAGGCAGCUGUGUCUCAGUGAAGGGUGCUGAAUGCUCUUCUUUAAAAUAUCCCAGAGAUUCUAUGAUGUAUCAUGUCUCAAUGUCACAGGCAGGUGCUGUAUAGGCCUGGGGCAAUGCUUACAGCGUGGCCUUCCAUUAUCUUCCCUGAAGACUGUACACAGUGAGGGAGGAAAGGGAACCAGUUUCAUAGCUAUCUGGCACACAGUGCCAAGCUCCUCCGUUUGAUCAGCUAUCCCAGUGUACUCACCCCUUGUCUUUAUGUCAAUUUUCGUUAAUUAUUUUUAUAGCAAGGAAAAGGGAAAAAACCCCUCACAAUUACAUAAUAUGCUCAGACUACAAUGAUCAAGAGCAGCAAUAUAGCAUUUUAUUACCGUAGCACAUGCAGCUAUUUGUGUGUUACACACUGAAUCAAGGGACUUGAUUCUCCUCUUGCUAACCCCAAUUUUAUAAGGUGAUGGCAAUGGAGUUACUCCUGAUUUCCACCAGUUUAAGUGGAAGAUGUAUCAGAACCAGGGAUCCUAUCACUAUGUUUGUUAGAAAUCUUGUGCCUUGUUCUCCUCUCACUUAUACAAGUUUAUGCAAGUAUUAGAGAGAGAAGAAACAGGCCACUUUAGUUCAAGAGUCUUCUGUGCCAUAUCACAAUAUAUUGAGUGUCAUUUGGCUUGGAACAUGGGAGGAGUUUCCCCAAAUUCCUUCUUGCUGUGAUAAUGGAAGGGAGUUUGUUACAACAGACUAUCAGCUUUUUAUGGAGGCCUAAAGGUUUGCCAGGGAGCAGAGAAUUUUUGUCACCUGAUGCUGCUUCCCCUAAAAACCUAGUUUCUCUGUGGCUGCUGUGAGAUGUCUGUGAUGCCAUGCUAUGUUCUAGCAUCCUGUUAGUCAUUUGUGGUACAAUUUUCAAAACUGGGUGCCUAAAUGGACACCGCAUUGUCUAAAUCAGGCUGCUGUGCACUCAUUUAGAUACCUCAGGGUACCUAGACACAGUAGCAAAAACAACCCAUGGCAGCAAGUCUCAGAGCCCAGGUCAAGUGACUCAGGCUUGCAGGGCUCACACUGGGGGGCUAAAAAUAGCAAUGUAGAUGUACAGGCAGGCUCAUGCUGGAGCCUGGGCUCUGAGACCCCACCCCACCCAGGUUUCAGAGCUCAGGCUCCAGCCUGAGACCGGCAGACUCGCGUCAUUUGACCCUGGCUCUGAGCGGUGCUGCUGUGGAUCUUUUUUUGCUGUUAGACAUACUGUACACGUCAACAUAGGUGCCUAUCUCUAGGAAACCAGCGUUUGAUAAUUGAACUCCCCGUAAGUGCUCUGCAGUUGACAAUGUCAUUGAUAGCCACAGAAGGAAAAAACAAGUUCCAUUCUCUCUUGUUUUCCCCUGCUUUCAAACACUGAAAAACUGAAACUAGAAAA